This 476-nucleotide ribosomal RNA is filed under the name uncultured bacterium. RNAcentral's name for it is "partial 16S ribosomal RNA". It matches the Rfam family "Bacterial small subunit ribosomal RNA", at positions 30 to 507 of the family's 1533-position model. The record is from RNAcentral.
UUGCACGCUGGCGGCCUGCCUUACCCAUGCAAGUCGCACGGUAACAGGUUAAGCCGACGCGUGGCGAACGGGUGAGUAAUGUAUCGGAACGUGCCCAGUCGUGGGGGAUAACUGCUCGAAAGAGCAGCUAAUACCGCAUACGACCUGAGGGUGAAAGCGGGGGAUCGCAAGACCUCGCGCGAUUGGAGCGGCCGAUAUCAGAUUAGGUAGUUGGUGAGGUAAAGGCUCACCAAGCCGACGAUCUGUAGCUGGUCUGAGAGGACGACCAGCCACACUGGGACUGAGACACGGCCCAGACUCCUACGGGAGGCAGCAGUGGGGAAUUUUGGACAAUGGGCGCAAGCCUGAUCCAGCCAUGCCGCGUGCGGGAAGAAGGCCUUCGGGUUGUAAACCGCUUUUGUCAGGGAAGAAAAGGUUCUGGCUAAUACCUGGGACUCAUGACGGUACCUGAAGAAUAAGCACCGGCUAACUACGUG